AAAAAGCUAUGGCAAAGCUAAGUUUCUUUUUGUUAAAUGGAAAACCCUGUAGGUAUUUUAUUAGUUUCAAUUCGGUAAUUGCCAAUUUAGGGAAUUGAUUCAUCAUGGCAAAUGAUGGAGGUUGCAUAGUCAGACUCGGUAUAUGUUGGGUCUAAGUAGAUAUGUUUUUUGUAGGCGUUUGCUGGACAAGAGAUUUAAUCAAUGCUAAAAUUUUCAAGUUUUGUGUCCCCUUAAUCGAUGUUAUUGUUGCUUUAUUGGGUUGAUCGAAAGUUGUGUUGGUUAAUUGAGCCGACAUUGGCGAAAAAGCGCCAGAUUGAAAAUAGAUUCGUUCGUAAAUUUUUGUUGCAUUCUGGAAGCCUUGAGAACUUUUGAAACAUUUGAUCAGGAAGCGAUCAAUUUACGCCAACCGCAUUUGACUUAUUUUGAUCAAAGUUGUGAUUGCCUCCGAUUAAGUCCAAGCGAAUCAUUAAAGCGCUUAGUCCUACCCAGCAUGGUACCAGUUUGGCACUCAAGCAUGUCGAUGGCACGACGCCAGCAGAAGUAACUGCUCCAUUGUGAGUGGAUGAUCCAGAAAACAGGUAGAACCCAAAGUGGUUCCGUACACACGUCUGGCGUACGUGAGUCAUGCGCGUCGCUGCCGUCAUUGGUACCAUGUUGACACCCCGACGGCCGUCUCACCCCCCUCGUCACCAGUGGCAGGUGUCCAGGAGCCUGGGAACCCGACUUCUUGCUCGGUUCCCACAGCCAGCACGCACCUGGCGUACGACCGAGAGAGAGACAGACAGACGUGGUGGUGAUGAUGGUGAUGCGAUCGGUCCAUCGAAUAGAAAUGCCUGAUUGGAAGGGUGACUGGCACAUAUCGGGUUCGUGGGGGAGUAAACUGAACCCACUGAACUGGCCGAUGUAGCCGUUAAUUGCCAGGCGAAAAGUAACCGACAGGAAUUUUUUAGGGGCGGUUGCUAAUUUCAACCGAGCCAGCCUAAUUGGGUGCGUUGGUCAGACUCAAGAGGAAGCAACUGGGAUGAAUGAAGAUGUAGAGCAUUUCGAAAACAUGCAAUUACGCGAAGGAAAGUGGCAAUGGAAAUGGACAGAGUUGAAGACAGCUGAAGCAAAGUAGAAAGACGUUGUUUUGGUUUUGCUUGCUUUAUUUGCUGGUGGUGUUGGUGAACAUCCUGUUUAUCAGUCGCGUUAAUUGUCAUCGCUAAUCGUUGCUCUCAUGUGCAGGUUUAUGCAAAUGUCCCGCAUAAAAUUUACAUGAAGGGGUUAGAAGCAAAACCGCCCAGGUCGCAAAAGGUUUAUUUAGAGAAAUAAAUCCUCAAAAUUUUCUUACAGUCGAAGCCCAAAAACUUCAAAAAGGCGUAAAAAAUCGGGUGGUGUAAGAUCCGCUAAUCGCGGAGGCCCCCAAUAAGAACACUGUUGUUGCGGAGCAACAACCGGUCGAACCCUAUUCUUUGAUAGCAGAUUUCUGGAUUGGGGAUCAUUUUAUUUUAUUUUAUUUUAUUUUUAUUACUAUUAACUCAGAUAUGCUUAAACUACUCAAUGUAAAAGAAAGUCGCACUUUCAUCGGCCAAUGUUUCCUCAAAAUUUCCUAAUACCAGAUCGCAAAAUCAAUAUUUGAAGUAAUCAAAUCAUUCGGUAUUGGUUCCCUGGGUUCUCCUCGAGUAACGAAGAGUAACUGCGGUACAUGCAGCAUCUCAAUGUAGAGCAUCUGCAAGUGGUUCAACUAUCUCGCAAUCUGCCCCGUAACACAUUCACCUUUUAAAGCCCGCAAUUACGCUGCUUAUCGCUAUCGCAAAUUGUGAAUUAUUGAUCCUAUACCGGCGGCAUUAAAAUCGAAUUUAAAACAAUCAGGUUCGAUUCAGCACGGCACUACCGUUACGAAAAACAUUCAUUCGUCUUCCAUUAUCUUCAGUUUUUAUCUUCGUCCCGUUUUCGGCCUCAUGAAGGGAAGCACGCCGAUUUUAGGUGGCUGAGGCCUGACCGAUCAUGUGUGUGUACACGAAAAGAACUGAUCAGUUCAGAUGAAAGUCUUCAUCGAAGAUUAUUAACAGAACACGUAGAUUUGAGGGAAUGAUCCAAGAGGGUCUCCAGAAAAGAAUUCCUAAGUGUAUUGUUUUUUGCUGGUCAAUUUUUGCGGACUAAACUGAACAGAGGAACAUAUUUUGGGCCUUAGAAGAAAAAUGUUAAUCAAUUACCCAGCUUUCGGAAUGUAUUCCCGUCUUCAGGACAAGCUGAAGAAAGAGGCUUGCUAUUUGAAUCUGAGGGUUUUUCUGAGGACCACAGCAGAUCGAUCCAAAAUAUUUAAAUUCCACUUGGAACGUCAACUUUAGGACUACCUGAAGAAGAAAAGACACAUAUUUCGAAAGCUAGAUUUAUUUUUCUGACGACCCCAACAGAUCGAAUUCUACACCAAAAACCCAGUAGUUUUCUCGGUGUAGUGGAAUACCCUGAUAGCUCGAAGGCAAUUUACCCAAGUUAAGUCAAUACAUCGAGAGCGUAUAAUAUUUGAGCACUUAGCUCGCAGCUACUGGUCUUUUGACAUUUGAACAGUUCUUCGGUACCGCUUUAAAAUAAUAGGUAUUGGCCAAGAUAAUUCGCGAUUAAGCCAAUGGCUGGUCGGCUUUAAUUUAGGGCCACGUUCGUUUUACGAUAACUGCCCUCCGAAACGUAAAAACCUACUCAAACUUAAAUAUAAUGGUCGGCUCACAUCCUGCACAAGUCGGAUGCUGCAGUAAUUACUCGGUACCGUUGUGGAAAUUAGGCGAAACCCCAUCAGCAGGACAAUAAUUUGAUGUCCCUGAACCCGAUCGCAGCGCCAAAUGCAUUAAAAUUCUGCACUUGCUUCUGCCCGUCUACAAAAUGCUUACGGUACUUCAACAGAAAAAUCAUCAAUUGAAAAGGUUGGGAUGAUAAAGAAAAAAUAAAAUAAAACGCGCUUGCCACCAGCAUUCAUUUUCAACGGGCCAUAUUUUAUUCAUGAACUGGAUCGGAUCUUUCGUAGCAUUUUUUCCUGCAAGACAUUGUUCGUUUACUGCUGGAAAUUCUACUCGAUUUAAUUGAUGGUUGUUUACAUUGCCGAUGGUCGAGACUUGGCUCUUAAACUGCAUUUUUAACCGAAAUCAUCUUUAAUAUUAUUAAUAUUAUAUUAAUUAAAAUGCAAAGCAAAGUUUGUAUAAUUGGAGCUUUGAUUUCGCCCCUUUCCUUUAGAUCUAGGUGAUUAAACAAAUUACAUUUUACCUUUUCUGGCACCUGCUGGCUAAAUGGCAAGCAGCAAUUAAUCCUCAGCUCAUUCCCCGGUUUGUUCAUUCAUGUUCACCCUUUGUAGUCGACAACAUAUCAUUUUAAUCCUACUAACCAACUAGUUAAACAGUAAAAACUGUUUACUUCCGGUGACAAAAGGAAACCACUCGUAAUUGCCGGGUUAGAGCCCUUUUAUUUGCCUUGUGUAAAAUGGUAAUUGGCUACUAAUAAGCGUGUCAUAAUUCAUGUUUAAUAUAGUUAUUAGUGCGACAAUGUGAAAAUAUUGGGUGUGGGGUGUGGUCGAUUUUUCGCUUUGUGCUCGUGGGAAAGACGUUUUGUGUUUGUUCUACCGGUCCACAGUAACUGGAAUUGAUUUGCUAAUUUCUGAAUAAUUACGUGUUUUAUGACCAACCGCAAUAUUAACUGAAUUUGCUUAAUUCUGCAUAUUUCCCCUGAUUCUAACAGACUUUUCCACCCAACAGCAAAGAACCUUGACUGUUCAAAAGUAAGGAACUUAUCAUUUAACCCAGCCAGGCAUCGAUCACAUUAAACUCCCUGUCUUCCGCACACACCCUACAAACAAGCAACAGGGAUUUUGGGAUUUUUGGGCAGGUAGUUCACCUGUUUUCGAUGUAGGGCUCGAAUGCCCACAUGGGGAGAAACAAGAGGGUGGCACAUAAUUUUAUAUAGGAAGGGUGGAUGGUUAUUAUUUUCGUCAAUCGACGGGGUUUAUGCAGGGCUGCUCAGGUGCCGCCAACCUGAGGAGGGUCGGCAAAAGUCGUUUAUUUGAUUUUCUGGGUUCUCAUCAGGAAAUAUUAAAUUGAAGAAGCACAUUUUUGGCUCGAAAAUUCUUAUACUUUCAAAACUUGAUCUAAAAUGUUGUUUUUGUUUUUGGAAGUCAAAAAUGUGUAGUUUUCACACAAAUACAAGCGUUGUUUUUACAUAUUUGAGACUAGCAAUCGAGACAAUGGAACGAGGGACUUGAACCUGUAAAUGCAAAAAUCUUCAUUAAAACCCCGAUUUUUUCAAACUGUCCAAACGUUAGUAGUAAAUUGCAGGUUUUCGCCCCACUACAACGUUUCUUUUGAAAUAUUCCAACCAGAAAAUGAAUCUCCAUUAGCACAUUGGAGACAAAUUGAUCUUACGUUGUCCCAUUGAAAAAAAUCAGAAAAUACACGCACGAAUUUAUAUCGAAAAAAGUCGCAACACCAAGCAAGAAAUUCCCUCGGACAAAGUGCCUCUGCCCAAUUUCUUAUAUGGACAGAGGAGUAUUCGAGGCCAUAAAAGGCAAAAGCAAAAAAAGGACAGACGACGAUGCGCCAAAGUUCGUUACAGCCCGCAGCAUCCCAAAAGGAAAAAAGCUAAAGCGCACGGUCUCACAGGUAAACACGGUAGCCAAUAAGAGCGAAAGAGAAGGAAACCAUCGCACCUCACGACUCACGAGUUGGUCGCGUGUGGAGCUCGCGCUAAACCUCUGGCCACGUUGCCGCCUUUACCCAGCCAACCAUACCCCAUACCAUUGGAACCCAUAAAAAUUAUUCCUCAAACCCAAUCUUUAGUCUGGGGGGCUUGGGGUGUCGACCAGCCAUCUAAGCCAACCAAGAGCCACGUCCAAAUUGCUCUUGGCGGCCCAACAUCAAGCCAAAAUGCUUCCAAAAUUUUGAAGCUUUCCUUCACAUAAAAGCCGGAUCUUCCAACUUGGCAUCAGGGCACCAAAGCAUGCGCCAAAGACAGGUAAAGCUCGCUCUAUAAAAAGCUUUGGGUUUCGGUUCGGUUUCGUCAUAUCCACUGAACCAUCGUCAAGCGUGGUACUGGUGUGAAGUACGAUUGCGCUAAACUCGUGCUGGCACAACCUCAGGCUGCGUCAUCAAUCAGCUGGUUCGGUCUUUCGUCACUAAUCAUGUGUUAUAAACAAACCAGUUCCAAGAUGAGUCAAACCCCAAGGCCACCCUUCCGACGAAUUCUUCCGAUUGGGGAGGUAAUCAGACCAAGGCUUCCAAGAUGGAUCACAUCAACACCUAGAGUAAACCUGAACAUCAAUUGGUCAAAGUUUGCCGAGUUGAGCAAUGGAGACGCUCCAUUGCAACCGGUAUGAAACUUAUGAAAAUUUGGUUCGUGGACAAAACUGAGUCUUCGACCUCUUGUACAUUUGCGGUAUGUAAUUUUAGUUUUUAAAUAUAAUUUUUUUCCAUCAUCAACUAAUUGUUUGCUAAGCUGAGCUGCUUCGUGCAAUUCUACAUUUUAAGAUUCAGCCUGUGCAAUGUUAAGUUUAUUGAUUUUCUAACGUGCAAUUCAAAGGUUAAAUUCUUAUUUUCGGGUGCAAUUUAGGUUUCGAUUAAAAACUGUUUUUGGAAAUCGUGCAAUCAGCUUCCUCUUUUGGUUGUUUCAAACCGCUCUUCAAGCGGAACCCUGAAUGGCUUUCGCUUCAGGUCUCGUGCAAUAAAUGUGAUAACAAAAUGAUAGAGUAUGUGAUAUUAUGUGAUUUUUCUGAACUGGAGCAAAAGUAUCUAAAUGUGAUCGAGAUACUUGUGAUAUUGUAGGCCAAGUGCAAUAAGUCUUUUUCUGAUUUGUGUACAUUAUCAGACACCUUUUAAUUUGCUCAAGCUUUAAUUUUUCCGGACAUGAUGCGCCCAUUUUUGGGUCUCGAAACAUUUUUGCCACAAAUUUGUAAUUCAUUUACUUGAUUCCUGCAUUUUAAAUAGAAAUAUUUAAGAUCACAAAAUUGGGCUCUUCAUGUUCUCGACUUAGGUAGGUAUAUGAUAGGUAAUCAAUCAAUGACUAUCCAAUUUGGAAAGUUGAUCGCAAUUGCUGAAGCUUUAAUAGUUUUAAGGAGUAUAAAUGAAGAUGUGUAUUACUGUAAGUGUACUUAAAACAUAUAGGCCGAACAGUGUCAAUCAAUUUGUACAUAAAUGCGUUAAAUUAGGCUUAAAAUCUCGCGCACUUUACUGCACCGUAUAAUUAGACCCAGCACUUUUCCAGCACCUCUAUGUAUGUAACUUUAAAAGUGCUCAUAAAGUUUUGUGAUAGGUUUACGUACAGCUUUUCUUAUUAUUUUAUGUAUAUUUUCUGUGAUAUCAGCUUAACAAAAUGAUUUCGUUGUUGUGUUUGUUUACUUUUCUCUGUUACUAUAAGUUGUAAAAAGUAGGAUUUGCAUUAGGUUUGUGUGUGUUUUUUUGUAGCUUUAGGUGAUUCACUCCCAUGAUCUUUCACUAGGUUUAGGUUUAUAAUCGUUUGGUAUUUGUAGAUUUAAGUUUGUAAUCAUUGUAGCGUUUUGAAAAUAAAUGACUUUUAAAAAC
Long non-coding RNA from Dendroctonus ponderosae (mountain pine beetle), 6536 nucleotides. RefSeq lists it as uncharacterized. The transcript has 2 exons. The record is from RefSeq and is a predicted model, not a curated record. Lineage: Eukaryota; Metazoa; Arthropoda; Insecta; Coleoptera; Curculionidae.